RNAcentral lists this ribosomal RNA (728 nucleotides) under uncultured eukaryote. Its description in RNAcentral is "SSU rRNA". It matches the Rfam family "Eukaryotic small subunit ribosomal RNA", at positions 674 to 1426 of the family's 1831-position model. The record is from RNAcentral.
GGCCAUGUUGGUUAACAGAUCCUCAUCUGCUGGACGUCUGGCGAUGAUCUUUAUCGGUUGUCGUCAGUUGCCAGCACGUUUACUUUGAGAAAAUUAGAGUGCUAAAAGCAGGCUCACGCCUAUAUAUAUUGCAUGGAAUAAUGAAAUAAGAUCUCGAUUUUAUUUCGUUGGUUUUAGAAAUUGAGAUAAUGAUUAAUAGGAUCAGAGGGGGGCGUACGUACUGUGGUGUGAGAGGUGAAAUUCUUGGAUCGCCACAGGACGAACAGCAGCGAAGGCGUUCGCCAAGAAUGUUUUCAUUAAUCAAGAACGAAAGUUUGAGGUUCGAAGACGAUUAGAUACCGUCCUAGUUCAAACCAUAAACGUUGCCAACUGUCUUUUAGAUGCGGUUAUUUAUAUGACUCAUCUGGCGGAUCUCGAGAAAUCUAAGUUUUUAGGUUCCGGGGGAAGUAUGGUUGCAAAGCUGAAACUUAAAAGAAUUGGCGGAAGGACACACAAGAAGUGGAGCCUGUGGCCUAAUUUGACUCAACACGGGAAACCUUACUCGGCCAGGACACUUUUAGGAUUGACAGAUUGAGAGCUCUUUCUUGAUUAGGUGGGUGGUGGUGCAUGGUCGUUCGUAGUUCGUGGAGCGAUUUGUCUGAUUAAUUUCGAUAACGAACGAGACUCCGGCUUACUAAAUAGUCUAAAGUUCGAAGGGACUUUUCAAGACUUCUUAGCAGGAUAAGUGG